This 322-nucleotide unclassified non-coding RNA is filed under the name soil metagenome. RNAcentral's name for it is "partial contains 5.8S ribosomal RNA, internal transcribed spacer 2, and large subunit ribosomal RNA". The stretch from base 3 to 119 matches the Rfam family "5.8S ribosomal RNA", at positions 38 to 154 of the family's 154-position model. The record is from RNAcentral.
GAGAAGAACGUAGCGAAAUGCGAUAAGUAGUGUGAAUUGCAGAAUUCAGUGAAUCAUCGAAUCUUUGAACGCACAUUGCGCCCCUUGGUAUUCCAUGGGGCAUGCCUGUUCGAGCGUCAUUUGUACCUUCAAGCUUUGCUUGGUGUUGGGUGUUUGUCCUGAGGGACUCGCCUUAAAGUAAUUGGCAGCCAGUGUUUGGUUUUGAAGCGCAGCACAAGUCGCGAUUCAAAGCUAUACGCCCGCUUCCACAAGCCUUUUUCACUUUUGACCUCGGAUCAGGUAGGGAUACCCGCUGAACUUAAGCAUAUCAAUAAGCGGAGGA